This 253-nucleotide ribosomal RNA is filed under the name uncultured bacterium. RNAcentral describes it as "partial 16S ribosomal RNA". It matches the Rfam family "Bacterial small subunit ribosomal RNA", at positions 524 to 776 of the family's 1533-position model. The record is from RNAcentral.
UACGUAGGGGGCUAGCGUUGUCCGGAUUUAUUGGGCGUAAAGAGCGUGUAGGCGGCCAGGUAGGUCUGCUGUGAAAACUCGAGGCUCAACCUCGAGACGUCGGCGGAAACCAUCUGGCUAGAGUCCGGAAGAGGAGAGUGGAAUUCCUGGUGUAGCGGUGAAAUGCGUAGAUAUCUGGAGGAACACCGGUGGCGAAGGCGGCGUUCUGGACUGCAACUGACACUGAGAGACGAAAGCCAGGGGAGCAAACGGG